UGGGGAAUAUUGCACAAUGGGCGAAAGCCUGAUGCAGCGACGCCGCGUGCGGGAUGAAGGCCUUCGGGUUGUAAACCGCUUUUAAUUGGGAGCAAGCGAGAGUGAGUGUACCUUUUGAAUAAGCACCGGCUAACUACGUGCCAGCAGCCGCGGUAAUACGUAGGGUGCAAGCGUUAUCCGGAAUUAUUGGGCGUAAAGAGCUCGUAGGCGGUUUGUCACGCCUGGUGUGAAAGUCCAUCGCUUAACGGUGGAUCUGCGCCGGGUACGGGCAGGCUAGAGUGCAGUAGGGGAGAUUGGAAUUCCCGGUGUAACGGUGGAAUGUGUAGAUAUCGGGAAGAACACCAAUGGCGAAGGCAGAUCUCUGGGCUGUUACUGACGCUGAGGAGCGAAAGCAUGGGGAGCGAACAGGAUUAGAUACCCUGGUAGUCCAUGCCGUAAAACGGUGGAUGCUGGAUGUGGGACCCUUCCACGGGGUUCCGUGUCGGAGCUAACGCGUUAAGCAUC
Molecule: ribosomal RNA, 504 nt
Filed under: uncultured bacterium
Lineage: Bacteria
Description: partial 16S ribosomal RNA
Rfam family: Bacterial small subunit ribosomal RNA
Source: RNAcentral